GCGUAUACAAUCUACCUUAUACUGGGGAAUAGGCCAAAGAAAUUUGGAUUAAUGCCCCAUAGUAUUUUUCUAACACAUGUUAGAAUUCUUAAAGCUCCGGCGGUAUAAGAUGAGUAUGCGUGAUAUUAGCUAGUUGGUGAGGUAACUGCUCACCAAGGCAACGAUAUCUAGGGGGUCUGAGAGGACUAUCCCCCACACUGGUACUGAGACACGGACCAGACUCCUACGGGAGGCAGCAGUGAGGAAUAUUGGGCAAUGGAGGCAACUCUGACCCAGCCAUGCCGCGUGAAGGAAGAAGGU
RNAcentral lists this ribosomal RNA (300 nucleotides) under uncultured Crocinitomix sp. RNAcentral describes it as "bacterial SSU rRNA". It matches the Rfam family "Bacterial small subunit ribosomal RNA", at positions 115 to 415 of the family's 1533-position model. Lineage: Bacteria; Pseudomonadati; Bacteroidota; Flavobacteriia; Flavobacteriales; Crocinitomicaceae. The record is from RNAcentral.